Molecule: transfer RNA, 59 nt
Filed under: Sivaloka damnosus
Lineage: Eukaryota; Metazoa; Arthropoda; Insecta; Hemiptera; Issidae
Description: tRNA-Ser
Source: RNAcentral
AAGAAUAAAAUUAAGGAGCCGCUAACUACUUUUCAAGUGAAAAAAUCACUUUAUUCUUU